RNAcentral lists this ribosomal RNA (486 nucleotides) under uncultured bacterium. RNAcentral describes it as "partial 16S ribosomal RNA". It matches the Rfam family "Bacterial small subunit ribosomal RNA", at positions 29 to 507 of the family's 1533-position model. The record is from RNAcentral.
AUUGAACGCUGGCGGCAUGCCUUACACAUGCAAGUCGAACGGCAGCACGGGUGCUUGCACCUGGUGGCGAGUGGCGAACGGGUGAGUAAUACAUCGGAACAUGUCCUGUAGUGGGGGAUAGCCCGGCGAAAGCCGGAUUAAUACCGCAUACGAUCUACGGAUGAAAGCGGGGGACCUUCGGGCCUCGCGCUAUAGGGUUGGCCGAUGGCUGAUUAGCUAGUUGGGGGGGUAAAGGCCUACCAAGGCGACGAUCAGUAGCUGGUCUGAGAGGACGACCAGCAACAUGGGGAGAGAGACAGGGCCCAGACUCCUGCGGGGGGAAGCGGUGGGGAAUUUUGGACGAGGGGGGAGUGCCGGAUCCAGCAAUGCGGGGGGUGGGAAGAAGGCCUUAGGGUGGGAAAGUACUUUUGUCCGGAAGGAAAUCCUUGGCCCUAAUACGGGCGGGGGAUGACGGUACCGGAAGAAUAAGCACCGGCUAACUACGUG